UGUUUCAUUAUCAAUUUUAUUUCCUACCAUACACCAAAUGUACAGCACAGAACACAAUUUUGUUGUUUUGAUGUAAGAAAUAUUAAUUGUAUGAAGAAACAGUAUACAAACUACUCCAAAUUAAAAAAUGCAUACAUCAUUGCUCUUUACAAAAGGUCUAAUUUACAGUAUAGCUCAUCAAUGCAUUUAAACACAAAAAAAAAAAAAGAAAAACAAAAAGAAAAAAAAAUCAGUGCACGUUACAAAACACAUCAAGUACAAGGGAGGCAAAUAAAUACAAACAUACUUCACAGAACAUCCUGAGCAAACAACCAAACACAGUUAAAUUAACCUGAAGCCAUAGUAAAUCAUAAUAAUAAAUACAUAACUCCGUAAGAGAUUUUUUCUUAAAUAAAAUAUAUAACAAAUUUGUUAAAAUAUUUAGUAAAUCAAAUUUUAGUCUUUGUAAUGAGUGAACUCAUUUUGUAUGCAUUUAACGAGUAUAACAAAUGUUUGCUUUUUGUUUUUUUAGCAAGAACAAUAACUUUAAUAACAAAUUUUUGUUUGGUGUCCUCCUAUUUAUAUUAGACAGCACGUAUGGUAGCUUUUGAAAAAUCGAUUUAAAAAUAAACACAGCUCCUAAAACAUACAUUUUCCCCUGUCUAAACUAGGAUCGGAGAGUUGAACCAACCCUCAAAUGAAAAGCAAGCCCCACCUAACGCAGAACAGUGACCACAGUGCAUGAGAGUUGAAUCACUUUUGAAUAGUACUUUUGUGCAGGAACAGUAAUAAUAUAAUUGUAUAUGUCAAGCCUGUGAAUGCCAUCAUAUUCAAUCUAAAUAUAAAUGCAGCUAAUAAAAAUAAACACUUUCAUUAUAGCACGGAAAAAUUAAACACACGCUAGAUCCAUGUAUACAUUUACACUGAGGCACAUAUGCACAUGAGGUGUGUGUGCAUACAAAAAAGGCAGUUUAGCUGGUUGUUUAUACCUUUUUCUUAACAAAAAUAAAUAUAAAAAAAACUUCUGAAACAAUGCUUAAUUACUUACAAUCCCUGAAAUAGACAUUGCCUCUGUUAUAGCAACCGCUACUUUCUGACGGAUUCAGAAGUUCCUCAUCCAGGCUAAUCAGAUACUGAGGUGCAUGCCAGCA
RNAcentral lists this long non-coding RNA (1130 nucleotides) under Strigops habroptila (Kakapo). RNAcentral's name for it is "lncRNA (ENSSHBG00005004105.1)". The record is from RNAcentral. Lineage: Eukaryota; Metazoa; Chordata; Aves; Psittaciformes; Psittacidae.